Molecule: long non-coding RNA, 419 nt
Filed under: Salvator merianae (Argentine black and white tegu)
Lineage: Eukaryota; Metazoa; Chordata; Lepidosauria; Squamata; Teiidae
Description: lncRNA (ENSSMRG00000021428.1)
Source: RNAcentral
GAUUUCUAAGGCAGGUUUCUCAUGAUUGUGGAACCUGCAAACUUCUCCAGUUUUACCAUCACUUCCAGAGCCCAUGGCAUGCUGUUUGAAUGUCUGCUGCUACUCCAGGUGCCUCUCUGCAGAAAAGUCGUUCUAAGCUGCUUAUGGAGUUCUCAAUUUCGCAUGAUUGAGGGAUUACGCACCAGAGGUGCAGACCUCUUCUUGGGUUGCCCUCAUCCAGAUUUCACAGAGAUAAUACACCAGGAUCAGAGGUUGAACAGGAGCAGCGUCCACUUUUUCUCAUGGAAACAGAGAGACACCAAGCAGCUCAUUUCUCUUAUUAGUUUUUUGACUUUGUGUCUGUACCGGUGUGUGUGUGUGUGCAUAAAGUCCUGAAGCAUGUAACCUUUUAAAAAAUUUAGCCUAGGAUGGCUUCAAUC